AACCCGACUACAUGAAGCUGGAAUCGCUAGUAAUCGCAGGUCAGCAUACUGCGGUGAAUACGUUCCCGGGUCUUGUACACACCGCCCGUCACACCAUGGGAGCCGGAAAUGCCCGAAGCCAGUGACCCAACCUUAGGGAGGGAGCUGUCGAAGGUGGAGCCGGUAACUGGGGUGAAGUCGUAACAAGGUAUC
RNAcentral lists this ribosomal RNA (192 nucleotides) under uncultured bacterium. Its description in RNAcentral is "partial 16S ribosomal RNA". It matches the Rfam family "Bacterial small subunit ribosomal RNA", at positions 1309 to 1500 of the family's 1533-position model. The record is from RNAcentral.